CGCGGGGUAGAGCAGCCCGGUAGCUCGUCAGGCUCAUAACCUGAAGGUCAUAGGUUCAAAUCCUAUCCCCGCAACCA
Molecule: transfer RNA, 77 nt
Filed under: Hyphomonas sp.
Lineage: Bacteria; Pseudomonadati; Pseudomonadota; Alphaproteobacteria; Hyphomonadales; Hyphomonadaceae
Also listed under: 13 other names
Description: tRNA-Met
Rfam family: tRNA
About the family: Transfer RNA (tRNA) molecules are approximately 80 nucleotides in length. Their secondary structure includes four short double-helical elements and three loops (D, anti-codon, and T loops).
Source: RNAcentral